CUGCAGGCCACGGGCUCUCCAACUGCAGGCCACGGGCUCUCCAACUGCAUGCGAGAGCAACCUGGAGAGAUUUUGACAGCUCAGGUCAACCCAAUACCUGUGGCUGCCACUCACCUUUCCUAUAAGA
This is a small nucleolar RNA of Octodon degus (degu), 127 nucleotides long. NCBI's taxonomy places the organism in Eukaryota, Metazoa, Chordata, Mammalia, Rodentia, Octodontidae. The record is from Ensembl.